This 253-nucleotide ribosomal RNA is filed under the name uncultured bacterium. Its description in RNAcentral is "partial 16S ribosomal RNA". It matches the Rfam family "Bacterial small subunit ribosomal RNA", at positions 524 to 776 of the family's 1533-position model. The record is from RNAcentral.
UACGAAGGGGGCGAGCGUUGUUCGGAUUUACUGGGCGUAAAGGGCGCGCAGGCGGCUCAUUUUGUCAGGCGUGAAAGCCCCGGGCUUAACCUGGGAACUGCGUUUGAUACGGAUGGGCUAGAGUUCGGGAGAGGAGAGUGGAAUUCCCAGUGUAGAGGUGGAAUUCGUAGAUAUUGGGAAGAACACCGGUGGCGAAGGCGGCUCUCUGGACCGAGACUGACGCUGAGGCGCGAAAGCGUGGGGAGCAAACAGG